CGCUCAACCACCCUGGCCAAAUCUCACGACGAAAACCCUAGCAAUCCCAAUCCCUCACCUUUCCAUCCCUCUCUUUUCCCUGAUUUCACUCUCUUCUUAUCUCCAUUGCACUAUCCUUUGAUGUUUCUCUCCGUUUUAGUUGGGCAGUCGGUGAAGAGGGAGUUAUCAACAUUGGUAUGUUCCUGUGAUCUCCCAAUCGGCAAGAGGCUCCUCCAAGCAUUCACGAUCCGUUCUUCCAUUUGCUCAACGAUCGCCAUUAAAGGCUCGAUCUUUAGGGAUAAUUCAAUCUCAUGUGCUCUUUGUCUUGAAAGGUGCUUCUUCCUAGGUAAUAGUUUAUUGUUGUAUUUUUGUUAUGCAUCAUGCGGCUAUAAGAGAGAAGAAUA
Long non-coding RNA from Dioscorea cayenensis subsp. rotundata (Guinea yam), 383 nucleotides. RefSeq lists it as uncharacterized. The transcript is spliced from 3 exons. Lineage: Eukaryota; Viridiplantae; Streptophyta; Magnoliopsida; Dioscoreales; Dioscoreaceae. The record is from RefSeq and is a predicted model, not a curated record.